AUACGUAGGUGGCGAGCGUUGUCCGGAAUUACUGGGCGUAAAGGAUGCGUAGGUGGAUAUUUAAGUGGGAUGUGAAAUCCCCGGGCUCAACCCGGGAACUGCAUUCCAAACUGGGUAUCUAGAGUGCAGGAGAGGAAAGCGGAAUUCCUAGUGUAGCGGUGAAAUGCGUAGAUAUUAGGAGGAACACCAGUGGCGAAGGCGGCUUCCUGGACUGAAACUGACACUGAGGCAGGAAAGCGUGGGUAGCAAACAGGAUUAGAUACCCUGGUAGUCCACGCCGUAAACGAUGGGUACUAGGUGUAGGAGGUAUCGACCCCUUCUGUGCCGUCGUUAACACAAUAAGUACCCCGCCUGGGGAGUACGGUCGCAAGACUAAAACUCAAAGGAAUUGACGGGG
RNAcentral lists this ribosomal RNA (397 nucleotides) under uncultured bacterium. RNAcentral describes it as "partial 16S ribosomal RNA". It matches the Rfam family "Bacterial small subunit ribosomal RNA", at positions 523 to 918 of the family's 1533-position model. The record is from RNAcentral.